GGCUGGUCCGAUGGCAGUGGGUUAUCAGAACUUAUUAACAUUAGUGUCACUAAAGUUGGUAUACCACCCCCCCCCACUGCUAAAUUUGACUGGCUUUAA
This is an unclassified non-coding RNA of Cavia aperea (Brazilian guinea pig), 99 nucleotides long. It matches the Rfam family "Y RNA". Rfam says of the family: Y RNAs are components of the Ro ribonucleoprotein particle (Ro RNP), in association with Ro60 and La proteins. The Y RNAs and Ro60 and La proteins are well conserved, but the function of the Ro RNP is not known. The record is from Ensembl. Lineage: Eukaryota; Metazoa; Chordata; Mammalia; Rodentia; Caviidae.